This 468-nucleotide ribosomal RNA is filed under the name uncultured bacterium. RNAcentral's name for it is "partial 16S ribosomal RNA". It matches the Rfam family "Bacterial small subunit ribosomal RNA", at positions 28 to 507 of the family's 1533-position model. The record is from RNAcentral.
GACGAACGCUGGCGGCGUGCUUAACACAUGCAAGUCGAACGGAAAGGCCCUGCUUUUGUGGGGUGCUCGAGUGGCGAACGGGUGAGUAACACGUGAGUAACCUGCCCUUGACUUUGGGAUAACUUCAGGAAACUGGGGCUAAUACCGGAUAGGAGCUCCUGCUGCAUGGUGGGGGUUGGAAAGUUUCGGCGGUUGGGGAUGGACUCGCGGCUUAUCAGCUUGUUGGUGGGGUAGUGGCUUACCAAGGCUUUGACGGGUAGCCGGCCUGAGAGGGUGAUCGGCCACAUUGGGACUGAGAUACGGCCCAGACUCCUACGGGAGGCAGCAGUGGGGAAUAUUGCACAAUGGGCGGAAGCCUGAUGCAGCAACGCCGCGUGCGGGAUGGCGGCCUUCGGGUUGUAAACCGCUUUCGCCUGUGACGAAGCGUGAGUGACGGUAAUGGGUAAAGAAGCACCGGCUAACUACGUG